Non-coding RNA from Maylandia zebra (zebra mbuna), 207 nucleotides. NCBI's taxonomy places the organism in Eukaryota, Metazoa, Chordata, Actinopteri, Cichliformes, Cichlidae. The record is from RefSeq and is a predicted model, not a curated record.
AGAAAAUGGAGACACCUCUGCUGUUCCUCGCAAACUGACAGCGAUGCAGAGGCAGAGAGCAACACUGUGAAGACACAAAAAAAGUGUCGCUGGUUUCUUUUUAAAUUCUGGAAGAAAUUACACAAACAAAACGUGGCAGAGAAGGAAAUUCCUUCUACGUCUCAUCAGAGCAUCCCGGAUGCUUCUGUUGCUGCCACACCAGCUAAC